CCUACGGGAGGCAGCAGUGGGGAAUAUUGGGCAAUGGAGGCAACUCUGACCCAGCAACGCCGCGUGAAUGAUGAAGGUCUUCGGAUUGUAAAGUUCUGUGAUGGGGGAUGAACACAAUGACGGUACCCCAAUAGCAAGCCACGGCUAACUACGUGCCAGCAGCCGCGGGAAUACGUAGGUGGCAAGCGUUAUCCGGAAUGACUGGGCGUAAAGGGUGCGUAGGUGGUUUAGUAAGUUGGCGGUGUAAUUCCGGGGCGCAACCUCGGCGCUACCGCCAAAACUAUUAGACUAGAGUGCAGGAGGGGUAAGUGGAAUUCGUAGUGUAGCGGUGGAAUGCGUAGAUAUUAGGAGGAACAUCAGGGGCGAAGGCGACAUACUGGACUGUAACUGACGCUGAGGCACGAAAGCGUGGGGAGCAAACAGGAUUAGAUACCCGAGUAGUC
Molecule: ribosomal RNA, 443 nt
Filed under: uncultured bacterium
Lineage: Bacteria
Description: partial 16S ribosomal RNA
Rfam family: Bacterial small subunit ribosomal RNA
Source: RNAcentral